This 460-nucleotide ribosomal RNA is filed under the name uncultured bacterium. Its description in RNAcentral is "partial 16S ribosomal RNA". It matches the Rfam family "Bacterial small subunit ribosomal RNA", at positions 338 to 795 of the family's 1533-position model. The record is from RNAcentral.
CCUACGGGUGGCAGCAGUGAGGAAUAUUGGUCAAUGGACGAGAGUCUGAACCAGCCAAGUAGCGUGAAGGAUGACUGCUCUAUGGGUUGUAAACUUCUUUUAUAUGGGAAUAAAGUGUUCCACGUGUGGGUUUUUGUAUGUACCAUAUGAAUAAGGAUCGGCUAACUCCGUGCCAGCAGCCGCGGUAAUACGGAGGAUUCGAGCGUUAUCCGGAUUUAUUGGGUUUAAAGGGAGCGUAGGUGGAUUGUUAAGUCAGUUGUGAAAGUUUGCGGCUCAACCGUAAAAUUGCCGUUGAAACUGGUAGACUUGAGUACAGUAGAGGUGGGCGGAAUGCGUGGUGUAGCGGUGAAAUGCUUAGAUAUCACGAAGAACUCCGAUUGCGAAGGCAGCUCACUGGACUACAACUGACACUGAGGCUCGAAAGUGUGGGUAUCAAACAGGAUUAGAUACCCGUGUAGUC